AACGAACGCUGGCGGCAUGCCUAACACAUGCAAGUCGAACGAGACCUUCGGGUCUAGUGGCGCACGGGUGCGUAACGCGUGGGAACCUGCCCUUAGGUUCGGAAUAACUCCCCGAAAGGGGUGCUAAUACCGGAUAAUGUCUUCGGACCAAAGAUUUAUCGCCUUUGGAUGGGCCGGCGUUGGAUUAGCUAGUUGGUAGGGUAAAAGCCUAACAAGGCGACGAUCCAUAGCUGGUCUGAGAGGAUGAUCAGCCACACUGGGACUGAGACACGGCCCAGACGCCGAGGGGAGGCAGCAGUGGGGAAUAUUGGACAAUGGGAGGAAGCCUGAUACAGCCAUACCGCGUGGGUGAAGAAGGACUUCGGGUGGGAAAGCCCGUUUGUUGGGAAAGAAAAGCAGCAGGUUAAUACCACGCUGGGCGGACGGUACCCAAAGAAUAAGCACCGGCUAACUUCGUG
Molecule: ribosomal RNA, 458 nt
Filed under: uncultured bacterium
Lineage: Bacteria
Description: partial 16S ribosomal RNA
Rfam family: Bacterial small subunit ribosomal RNA
Source: RNAcentral